RNAcentral lists this ribosomal RNA (398 nucleotides) under uncultured bacterium. RNAcentral describes it as "partial 16S ribosomal RNA". It matches the Rfam family "Bacterial small subunit ribosomal RNA", at positions 523 to 918 of the family's 1533-position model. The record is from RNAcentral.
AUACGUAGGGUGCGAGCGUUGUCCGGAAUUACUGGGCGUAAAGAGCUCGUAGGUGGUUUGUCGCGUCGUCUGUGAAAUUCCGGGGCUUAACUCCGGGCGUGCAGGCGAUACGGGCAUAACUUGAGUACUGUAGGGGAGACUGGAAUUCCUGGUGUAGCGGUGAAAUGCGCAGAUAUCAGGAGGAACACCGGUGGCGAAGGCGGGUCUCUGGGCAGUAACUGACGCUGAGGAGCGAAAGCAUGGGUAGCGAACAGGAUUAGAUACCCUGGUAGUCCAUGCCGUAAACGGUGGGCGCUAGGUGUAGGGGUCUUCCACGACUUCUGUGCCGUAGCUAACGCAUUAAGCGCCCCGCCUGGGGAGUACGGCCGCAAGACUAAAACUCAAAUGAAUUGACGGGG